This 408-nucleotide ribosomal RNA is filed under the name uncultured bacterium. Its description in RNAcentral is "partial 16S ribosomal RNA". It matches the Rfam family "Bacterial small subunit ribosomal RNA", at positions 28 to 526 of the family's 1533-position model. The record is from RNAcentral.
GACGAACGCUGGCGGCGUGCUUAACACAUGCAAGUCGAACGAAGUGGCGAACGGGUGAGUAACGCGUAAUCAACCUGUCCUUCAGAGGGGGACAACAGUUGGAAACGACUGCUAAUACCGCAUACUGAGGGAGGGGAUUGCGUCUGAUUAGCUAGGUGGAGGGGUAACGGCCCAACAAGGCGAUGAUCAGUAGCCGGUCUGGGAGGCGGAACGGCCACAUUGGGACUGAGACACGGGCCAGACUCCUACGGGAGGCAGCAGUGGGGAAUCUUCGGCAAUUGACGAAAGUCUGACGGCGCAACGCCGCGUGAGUGAUGACGGCCUUCGGGUUGUAAAGCUCUGUUAAUCGGGACGCGGUACCGGAAUAGAAAGCCACGGCUAACUACGUGCCAGCAGCCGCGGUAAUUC